UUAAUUUAAAAUUCUUUUUAAAAAAAAUUCAUUUUUCUCUCUUCUUCUUCAAAAACAAAGCAAACUCUCUCUCAAGCCCUCUCAGCCCUCCCCUUCCCCCUCCGGCCACGACUCCGGUCACCUGACCAUCGUGGCGGCCGCUGGUCGCCGACAGCGAUGGCGCCGUCCACGGUGGCUGGAGAGCCCAAAAUUCCCUUUUUUUUCCCUCUCGACCCCUAAACUCCGGAUUUAGAGUUAGUUUUUUUCCAAAAAAUGGCCAAAGAAUGCUGAAAUGGGUGAAGACUCUUCGGUGGCCGACGAUGGAAAGACUCAAGUGAGCCCCUCUUCCCUUUUUAUUUUUCUUUUAUUUCGUAUGUAAAAAAAAAAAAAAGAGGAAGGAUUUAAGAAGAAAAAUAUAAAGAAAUAACCUUUAAACUUUUUUGCAUUUGAUUUUUUUCUCUAUGAAAUAUUUUCGAUUUCAAUCUCUCCUCUCCCUCUUACAUCGACUUGGUGAUGGCUUUUCAUAGCCGAAAUUGAUACAAUAUAUUAUGUUUUUUUUUUGCUACUAUUUGCUACUGUUUUGUGUUGUUUGCUUCUGCUUUUUUUUUUCAGUUUGCAGGUGUUGCGUGUUGUUUCCUCUUUGUAGGUGGCAGAGAUGUCAGAUGGCCGUGGCAGAAGGUAGUGCGGCGCGCCUAGGGCAUUAGGUUUCUUUCUCUGGUUGAAAAUGUUUAGGUAGUGAGCUUAUUUGGCCAUUAGGGUUUUUUUUUUAUUUUUUGGGUCAAUGGCCAUUAGGAAAUAGGGUUGUUUUUAGUCUGGGCCGUUCGGGUUUUGGGCCUGUUGUAAAAAUUUGGACUGCUUAAUUUUAUUAAAAGUUGGGGUAAAAUUGGGUUAUCAUAAUUAUAAUCUCCAAAUUAGACAUACAUUUUUUUUUGACAUCCUAUCUUCAAUAAAGAGAAAGACAUUUUUUUUAAAUAUUUGUAUGUUAAUUAAGAAGAUCGAAAUCAUAAGAUUUGAAGAUUUGAACAUGUUUCUUAGACAUAUAAAUUUCGUUCUUGAUAAUUUGACAUUUAUCUAAUUUUAUA
This 1061-nucleotide long non-coding RNA is filed under the name Gossypium barbadense (sea-island cotton). Its description in RNAcentral is "long non-coding RNA (GBAR_LNC002658)". The record is from RNAcentral. Lineage: Eukaryota; Viridiplantae; Streptophyta; Magnoliopsida; Malvales; Malvaceae.